This 445-nucleotide ribosomal RNA is filed under the name uncultured bacterium. Its description in RNAcentral is "partial 16S ribosomal RNA". It matches the Rfam family "Bacterial small subunit ribosomal RNA", at positions 354 to 796 of the family's 1533-position model. The record is from RNAcentral.
GUAGGGAAUAUUGGGCAAUGGAUGCAAGUCUGACCCAGCCAUCCCGCGUGCCGGAAGAAGGCCCUCAGGGUUGUAAACGGCUUUUGACGGUGAAGAAUCGACAGGAUGCGUCCUGUUUUGACGGUAGCCGUUGAAUAAGCACCGGCUAACUCCGUGCCAGCAGCCGCGGUAAUACGGAGGGUGCGAGCGUUGUCCGGAUGUAUUGGGUUUAAAGGGUGCGUAGGCUGGAAGGUCAGUCAGCGGUGAAAAGCUGUCGCUUAACGAUAGUCUUGCCGCAGAUACUUCCUUUCUUGGAUGAGGAGGAGGCCACUGGAACGGAUGGUGUAGCGGUGAAAUGCAUAGAUAUCAUCCAGAACACCGAUUGCGAAGGCAGGUGGCUGUACCUUAAUCGACGCUGAUGCACGAAAGCAUGGGGAGCAAACAGGAUUAGAAACCCUAGUAGUCC